Molecule: long non-coding RNA, 2115 nt
Organism: Astyanax mexicanus (Mexican tetra)
Lineage: Eukaryota; Metazoa; Chordata; Actinopteri; Characiformes; Acestrorhamphidae
Exons: 3
Source: RefSeq, a predicted model, not a curated record
GUAACGGCGUGGGUGCCGGUGCCUGGAGCGGCAGAGGUGAGAGAGAGAAAGAAGUCCGGAAGGAACCUUUCGGUAGUGGCCAGACCGGGCCGAGGAGCCAGGGCAGGCCUAGGAGCCAGGGCGGGCCGAGGAGCCAGGGCGGGCCGAGGAGCCAGGGCGGGCCGAGGAGCCAGGAGAGCAGACACCAGCCGCGGCGGUUGGAAAAGACGCACCGUAAUCAACGAAAGCUUGUGAGGUUAGGAAAGGAAAAGGAGCGACGUUUCAGUGAAAAGAGAAAGGGAGCACAGAAGUAAUGGGAUACAACAGGAAAUGGGUCUCACAGGCAUUGCUGAUCCCGCUAAGGCAGCUCGUAAAUGGGAGAACCUUAAAAUAAUAUUCAAGGACCUUGUGAAGCCACCAACUGGAGUUGGUUCAGAGGGAGGGGAGUAAACUGUGGACACUUCUAAGUGGUUCCCACUGAUGGAUGAAGUACUUGGUAACAAACCAUCAAUCCGUCCAAAACAUCUUGGGGCAAGUCUGUGGGAAAAUAUAGGACCGCCACUUCCAAGGACCAAGUCCUAACUCCUGAGGAAAUGGCUGAGGGUGAAUCUUUGGAGCCAGAGACAGGGAGCCAGUGAAAUAAGAGGAGGAAAGUAGACCCAGUUCUGGAAUUUUUUUGAGAGAGAGAAGGCGAGGGCAGAUGAACAAAAGAAAAGAAAGAUGGAGUGAGAUGAGAGGUUAUUUGGUUUCUCUGAAAAAAUGAUGAACUAAUUUAGCUUAUAAUGUACAGUACAUGUUUCACAAAGUAGAAAAUUAUUAGUAGUAGUUGUGGUCUAGGAAAACAUCAACAACAGAAACAGGUGCAGAAACAGCAGCUGCUAGCUGACUUCUGAAGAGAUUUCCAUCCUGGAUAUCAGGUAGCUCAAACAAAGGUGUUUCAUCAUCUGGCCUCAUGACACAGGAUGAGACAGGAUGUCUCUUUUAAUGAUACAGAUAGGAUGGUACAACAGCUUACCAUGAUGUGCGCAAAUGUUGGCUUUACUUUAAGAACUUAGGUGAAAAUGGAUCGCCAUCAUUAUUCCAAAAGACCUCUCUCAAUGAUGUUUCGAGCUCUUGAAUGGUGAUAUUUUACGCAAGCUUUCUCCGGAUCCCUCACUAAUCCAGGUCAGCCAACAUAGAUGUCGAGAAAUCUGUGCUUGUGGUCACAUAUAGCCUGUAGCUGUAUGGAGUGAAACAGCUUUCUGUUUAUGUAGCAGUUGCAGUCUUCUGUUGGUGGCUUAAUUCUGAUUUGACAGCCAUCAAUAGCUCCAACAGCAGCUUUAAACACAGGUGACCCUGUAAGCCCAGGCCUGUUUCCUCCAUCUUCUCAGCAGGUGGCAGAUGGAUAAUUCCAUUUUCAAGCUGUUUAAUUUUGUGGGCUACCCUGUGUAUGAUGACACUGACAGUUAAACAAGGGAUGUCAAAAGCUUUGCCCACAACUCUGUAUGGUAAUGUGCUCGCUAACCAAAACAGGCACACAAGAACCAAAUAAAUUUUUUUGGCCCCAGCCAUGGUCAUAUUGGUCUCUCGGAUGGUUGCAAAGACUGUAGAGUUCCCCCUGAGAGACGGUAAUCAUGAUGUGUCAAAGUUGUCCUCCAAAAGUACAAAAGUCCAAGAGCAGGCAUAUAGGGGUUUUCCUUUUUAAAACAAAAUUUAUAUAUAAAAAAAAAUUAUACAUUACAGAAACUGCGCCUCCUACUACAUUGGUUAGAUUACAGAAUCUGACUAAAGUGUUUGUACACUCUGACAAUCUGAGGAAAAACUCUAUUUACAUGAAUGUACUAUGUAAAAGUAAUACGGCUCAAAAUGACACACAUGUAGACUACUACUGAUUUUUUCUGUAUAUUUAUUUUAAUUUUUUUAACUACAUACCAGUCCCACCACAAAUGACAAAAAUCUCCGGAAAUUUAUGGUGAAGGUAACUAAAAAAAUCUAGCUCAAGACCAGCUGUCAUCCAGGAAAAAUACCUUAUACGGGUCAAUAAAUAAAAAAUAAUGAGCCGUAUGUUCGUUUUAUAGACACAAAGGAAAAAACAGAUAUUCUGACUGAAUUCCCAUUAAUGUUGUCGUGUGUUUAAAUAAAAAAACAAAAAAAUGA